AGGGCUGAUCUGGUAGAUAGGGAU
RNAcentral lists this microRNA (24 nucleotides) under Zea mays. RNAcentral describes it as "microRNA miR-3210". Lineage: Eukaryota; Viridiplantae; Streptophyta; Magnoliopsida; Poales; Poaceae. The record is from RNAcentral.